UUUUUUUUUUUUUUUUUUUCAGUACAUUAUUCUAACAUAACAGGUCAAACACUGAAAAUUUUUUUCUAGUCCGUCAAAUACUGAUAGCAAUAUAGAUUCUACAAUUAUAACUAUAGAUUUGUCUGUGUUUUCCUUCAGUUCUAUCAGUUUUAUUUCAUGUAUUUGGGAUCACUUUUAUUAGGUAUAUGUACAUCUGUGGUUACUGUCUACUCUGUUCAUUUAUCAUCAGGAAAUAACAUCCCUCUUUAACAUUAGUAAUACCCCUUUAUCCAGAAGUCUGUUUUAUCUGAUAUAGCCACUCAGACAUUUUUUAAAAUUAAAGUAUAGUUGACAGCGUUCUGUUAGUUGGAAGUGAACAAAAUAGUUAUUUAACAAUUCUAUAUAUUACCCUGUGCUCAACAUGAUAAAUGUAAUCACCACCUGUCACCAUGCCAUAUUACAAUAUCAUGGACUAUAUUCCCUAUGCUGUAUUUUUUUCAUCCCUGUGACUUUAUUUUAUAACUUGGGAGUCUGUAACCUUUUAAUCCCCUUUGCAUAUAUCACCCAUCCCCACCAACCUCCCCUCUGGCAACCACCAGUUAGUUCUCUGUAUUUAUGAUUCUUCCAAGGUUUUUUUGUUGUUGUUCAUUUGUUUUGCUUUUUAGAUUCUAUACAUAAGUGAAAUCAUAUUGGAAAUUGUCUUUGACUGACUUAUUUCACUGAGAGUAACACCCUCUAGGUCCACCCAUGUUGUCACAAAUGGCAAGAUCUCAUUCUUCUUUAUGGCUAAUAUUCCGUGUGUGUGUGUGUGUGUGUAAAUAAAUAUAUAUACAUUUAUACCAACCUUUGUCCAUUCACCUAUUGAGGCAUUUGGGUUGCUUCCGUAACUUGGCUAUUGUAAAUAAUGCUACACUAAAAUGAGGGGUGCAUAGAACUUUCGGAGUUAGUGUUUCUGUUUCCUUUAGUAAAUACCCAGUGGUGGGAUUAUGGGCUCAUAUGGUAUUUCUAUUUUUUUGAGGCGCCUCCAUACUAUUUUCCCCAGUGGCUGUACUUUAUAUUCCUAACCAACAGUGCACAAGGGUUCCCAAUUUUCCACAUCCUCAUCAAAACUUGUCUUUUUGAUAUUAGCCAUUCUGACUGAAGUUAGGUGGUAUCUCAUUGUGGUUUUGAUUUGCAUUUCCCUUAUCAUUAGUGAUGUUGAACAUAUUCUCAUGCAUCAUGUCUUAUCUGUAUGUCUUCUUUGGAAGAAAAAUCUAUUCAGAUCCUCUGCCCACUUUUUAAUGGAUUGUUUUCUGGUGCUGAGUUGUACAGAGCUUUAUAUAUUUUGGAUAUUAACUCUUCUUCAGAUACAUCACUUGCAAAUAUUUUCUUCCACUGAGUAGGUUGCCUUAUUGCACAAAUAGUUUCCUUUGCUGUGCCUAAGUUUUUUAUUUUGAUGUAGUUUCAACAGUUUAUUUUUGCUUUUAUUUCCCUUGCCUUAGGAGACAUAUCUAGAAAAAUGUUGAAAUGCUGAUGUCUAAGAGAUUACUUCCUAUGUUUUAUUCUAGGAGUUUUAUGGUUUCAGGACUCACACUUAGGUCUUUAAUCCACUGUGAUUUUAUUUUUGUAUAUGGUAUAAGAAAGUGGCCCAGUUUCUAGACAGCUACAUAUAAAAGAAUGAAACCUGGCUAGGAUGCUGGGGCUUACUGAGGUAGCAGGCCAGUGAGAGUGCCAAGGCCCUCCUACUGUCUGCACUACCAAAGUGGGAGGAAAUAUAAACAGUAGUGCUCCAUCAGUGCUUCCAACCCUGGAGAGAAUUCCAGCAGGCCACCUACCAUGUGGUAGAGGACUGGUUCCUUUAUAUUCCAGUUGCCUCUUUCAAAUACAGUUUUUCUGUGGCCCAGGACAGAUGAAUCUGCUCCUGGUCCCUCAGUACUAUCCUUCCCUACUGCAGUUGUAAGCAUCCGGGGUGGGUUUAUGUUCACUACGAUGUGUCUCCAACUAUUCUCUAUGUUGUCUCUUUCUGUCCUUUGUUAUACAGAAGCUGUUUAGCCCUCAGUUCUUUUUCAGGAGGAAUUAUUCUAUAUAUAAGUAUAGAUCUGGUGUCUAAAGGAGCUGAGUUCAGCAUUACCCUGUGUCACCAUCUUGAACCUCCCCAAACCAUUUUUGAUAGGUGUUUGCAUGCUAUAUCAAGUUCUAAUCUCUUGCCUUUAAGAUAUCUAUGUUAGGAUAUUGAAAUAGGGUA
Molecule: long non-coding RNA, 2203 nt
Filed under: Canis lupus familiaris (dog)
Lineage: Eukaryota; Metazoa; Chordata; Mammalia; Carnivora; Canidae
Description: lncRNA (ENSCAFG00845029894.1)
Source: RNAcentral